AUUGUGACAACCCGAAAAGUUUCUAAAAUCUUGAAUGAUUAGAAUAAAGGUUAAAGAAUAAAACCUAGAUGAGAAUUUGAGAAUUUAUUUAAAAUUUUCAAGAAAAACCUAUAUGGUUUGAUAUUCGAAUGAGAAUAGAGAAAAUAUGGGUUACAAAAUUCCAAAAACCCUAAAAAUGAAUCAAUAUGUACUUGGAGGAAUAUCAAGAAUAAGGUAUUACGAUACCUGUAAAUUCGAUGUGAACUGAAUAGUCUAAGAAAUGUUAUAUAAGUACAUAUGGAAAUUUUACUAUUGAAGAUAAAAUUUCACAGGAAGAGAUGCUAUGUGCUAUAUAUAUAUAUAUAUUUUAGCAAGAGGAAUGAUGAAUCAAGUUAAUGAUCAAG
RNAcentral lists this long non-coding RNA (383 nucleotides) under Panax ginseng (ginseng). Its description in RNAcentral is "long non-coding RNA (PGIN_LNC010121)". The record is from RNAcentral. Lineage: Eukaryota; Viridiplantae; Streptophyta; Magnoliopsida; Apiales; Araliaceae.